Molecule: ribosomal RNA, 408 nt
Filed under: uncultured bacterium
Lineage: Bacteria
Description: partial 16S ribosomal RNA
Rfam family: Bacterial small subunit ribosomal RNA
Source: RNAcentral
GACGAACGCUGGCGGCGUGCUUAACACAUGCAAGUCGAACGAAGUGGCGAACGGGUGAGUAACGCGUAAUAAACCUGCCCUUCAGAGGGGGACAACAGUUGGAAACGACUGCUAAUACUGCAUCCUGGUGGAGGGGAUUGCGUCUGCUUAGCUGGUUGGAGGGGUAACGGACCACCAAGGCGAUGAUCAGUAGGCGGUGGGGGAGGAUGAUCGGCGACCUUGAGACUGGGACACGGACCAGGCUCCUACUGGGAGGAGCAGUGGGGGAUCGUCAGAAAUGGAAGAAAGUCUGACGGAGAAACGGCGAGUGAGUGAUAACGGGCUUCGGGUUGUAAAGCGGUGUUAAUCGGGACGCGGUACCGGAAUAGAAAGCAACGGCUAACUACGUGCCAGCAGCCGCGGUAAUUC